CUCAGUUCAGAUCGUAGGCUGCAACUCGCCUACGUGAAGUAGGAAUCGCUAGUAAUCGCAGGUCAGCAUACUGCGGUGAAUACGUUCCCGGGCCUUGUACACACCGCCCGUCACACCAUGGAAGUUGGCCACGCCCGAAGUCGUUACUUUAACCCUUGUGGAGAAGGACGCCGAAGGUGGGGCUGAUGACUGGGGUGAAGUCGUAACAAGGUAGCCGUACCGGAAGGUGCGGCUGGAUCACCUCCUAA
Molecule: ribosomal RNA, 248 nt
Filed under: uncultured cyanobacterium
Lineage: Bacteria; Bacillati; Cyanobacteriota
Description: partial 16S ribosomal RNA
Rfam family: Bacterial small subunit ribosomal RNA
Source: RNAcentral